GACGAACGCUGGCGGCAUGCUUAACACAUGCAAGUCGAACGGUAAGGCCCUUCGGGGUACACGAGUGGCGAACGGGUGAGUAACACGUGGGUGAUCUGCCCUGCACUUCGGGAUAAGCCUGGGAAACUGGGUCUAAUACCGGAUAGGACCACUGCCUGCAUGGGUGGUGGUGGAAAGCUUUUGCGGUGUGGGAUGGGCCCGCGGCCUAUCAGCUUGUGGGUGGGGUGAUGGCCUACCAAGGCGACGAGGGGUAGCCGGCCUGAGAGGGUGACCGGCCACACUGGGACUGAGAUACGGCCCAGACUCCUACGGGAGGCAGCAGUGGGGAAUAUUGCACAAUGGGCGCAAGCCUGAUGCAGCGACGCCGCGUGAGGGAUGACGGCCUUCGGGUUGUAAACCUCUUUCAGCACCGACGAAGCGCAAGUGACGGUAGGUGCAGAAGAAGGACCGGCCAACUACGUGCCAGCCGCCGCUGUAA
RNAcentral lists this ribosomal RNA (478 nucleotides) under uncultured bacterium. RNAcentral describes it as "partial 16S ribosomal RNA". It matches the Rfam family "Bacterial small subunit ribosomal RNA", at positions 28 to 523 of the family's 1533-position model. The record is from RNAcentral.